AACCAACAGGGAUUGCUCUAGUAACGGCGAGUGAAGCAGCAAUAGCUCAAAUUUGAAAUCUGGCGUCUUCGGCGUCCGAGUUGUAAUUUGUAGAGGAUGCUUCUGGGCAGCCACCGACCUAAGUUCCUUGGAACAGGACGUCACAGAGGGUGAGAAUCCCGUAUGCGGUCGGAAAGGCACCCUACACGUAGCUCCUUCGACGAGUCGAGUUGUUUGGGAAUGCAGCUCUAAAUGGGAGGUAAAUUUCUUCUAAAGCUAAAUAUUGGCCAGAGACCGAUAGCGCACAAGUAGAGUGAUCGAAAGAUGAAAAGCACUUUGGAAAGAGAGUUAAAAAGCACCGUGAAAUUGUUGAAAGGGAAGGGAUUGCAACCAGACUUGCUCGCGGUGUUCCGCCGGUCUUCUGACCGGUUCACUCGCCGCGUUGCAGGCCAGCAUCGUCUGGUGCCGCUGGAUAAGACUGGAGGAAUGUAGCUCCCUCGGGAGUGUUAUAGCCUCUAGUGAUGCAGCGAGCGCCGGGCGAGGUCCGCGCUUCGGCUAGGAUGCUGGCGUAAUGGUCGUAAUCCGCCCGUCUUUAAACACGAAC
RNAcentral lists this ribosomal RNA (583 nucleotides) under Cladosporium lignicola. RNAcentral describes it as "LSU rRNA". It matches the Rfam family "Eukaryotic large subunit ribosomal RNA", at positions 63 to 666 of the family's 3401-position model. The record is from RNAcentral. Lineage: Eukaryota; Fungi; Ascomycota; Dothideomycetes; Cladosporiales; Cladosporiaceae.